GAAGGUUGGCCCUUCGGCAUCGUUCUGCAGGGGAUGGUGUCAAACCGCCAUGAGCUGCUGCGUUGAAUGAGGCGUGGUGGUGAGCGUCAUGGAGAAGGUCGCACAGGAUGCGGCAAGGU
RNAcentral lists this non-coding RNA (119 nucleotides) under Actinocrispum wychmicini. The record is from RNAcentral. Lineage: Bacteria; Bacillati; Actinomycetota; Actinomycetes; Pseudonocardiales; Pseudonocardiaceae.